UGGCGGACGGGUGAGUAACGCGUGGGUAACCUGCCUCACACAGGGGGAUAACAGUUGGAAACGACCGCUAAUACCGCAUAACCCGCUGGUAUCGCAUGAUACUGACGGAAAAGAUUUUAUCGGUGUGAGAUGGACCCGCGUCUGAUUAGCCAGUUGGCAGGGUAACGGCCUACCAAAGCGACGAUCAGUAGCCGGCCUGAGAGGGUGAACGGCCACAUUGGGACUGAGACACGGCCCAAACUCCUACGGAAGGCAGCAG
This 259-nucleotide ribosomal RNA is filed under the name uncultured bacterium. Its description in RNAcentral is "partial 16S ribosomal RNA". It matches the Rfam family "Bacterial small subunit ribosomal RNA", at positions 96 to 354 of the family's 1533-position model. The record is from RNAcentral.